AGUACGGUCGCAAGACUGAAACUCAAAGGAAUUGACGGGGGCCCGCACAAGCGGUGGAGUAUGUGGUUUAAUUCGAUGCAACGCGAAGAACCUUACCUGGUCUUGACAUGUCGAGAACUUUCCAGAGAUGGAUAGGAGCCUUCGGGAACUCGAACACAGGUGCUGCAUGGCUGUCGUCAGCUCGUGUCGAGAGAUGUUGGGUUAAGUCCCGCAACGAGCGCAACCCUUGUCCUUAGUUGCCAGCACGUAAUGGUGGGAACUCUAAGGAGACCGCCGGUGACAAACCGGAGGAAGGUGGGGAUGACGUCAAGUCAUCAUGGCCCAUACGACCAGGGCUACACACGUACUACAAUGGUAGGGACAGAGGGAUGCAAACCCGCGAGGGCAAGCCAAUCCCAGAAACCCUAUCUCAGUCCGGAUUGGAGUCUGCAACUCGACUCCAUGAAGUCGGAAUCGCUAGUAAUCGCAGAUCAGCAUUGCUGCGGUGAAUACGUUCCCGGGCCUUGUACACAACGCCCGUCACACCAUGGGAGUUUGUGCACCAGAAGC
This 549-nucleotide ribosomal RNA is filed under the name Stenotrophomonas rhizophila. RNAcentral's name for it is "bacterial SSU rRNA". It matches the Rfam family "Bacterial small subunit ribosomal RNA", at positions 879 to 1427 of the family's 1533-position model. The record is from RNAcentral. Lineage: Bacteria; Pseudomonadati; Pseudomonadota; Gammaproteobacteria; Lysobacterales; Lysobacteraceae.